CCCUUUAUACACCACAAGGUAGAUCAGAUUGUGAAUCUCCCGUCCGGCCACCUUGGUAAGGUUUGUUUUGAUCUCGCAUGACGAGCAUCCAUUCUUAUUAUGGAGAUAGCGGUGAAUGUCAGAGUGGCCCCACCUAACCUCGGCGCAGACUGAAGGAGAAGCGAGGCCUGCUGGCCAGAGCCGCGUGGCUUAGAGGCGGACUCCGCAUGACCGCGACGUGCUCGAUGAAGAAGGCAGGGCUAACUUCCUAGCCCCAGUGUCCAGUGAACCUAGAACAAUGCGCAUGCGAGCACCCAAGAGACCAAGCAGUGGGCCUGGUGUGUCAUUCACUAGCGAGGAGAUGAGUGGGCUGGCAAGUGGGUCCCACCGGUCGGUGCAACAGCGAGUGCGGCUAAAAGGAGAAAUGGGCUAAUGUGUGCACGAGAAGGUGGGGUAGUUGGGCCGAGCGGCACCAGAUUCGGCCCAGGUAAGCCUUUACCCUUUUCUAAUUCUAUUUUGUUUUCUUUUCCUAUUUUCCUCUCUUAUUCCCAUUUAAAUUCAUGUAUAAGUUUAAGUUUGCAAGGUAUAAUUGCAUAAGUAAUAAAAUCCUAGCAUGAUGCAAGGUUUACCCAUUUAAUUAUUUAUUAUCUUGGUUUAUCCAUUGAAGAAGUGCUUUCAAUAUGGAAUUCAUAUACAUAAAAGGUACUAUUCCAUGAAAAUCGUUUCCCAUCUCUCAUAUUAAAUAUUCUAAUGAAUUUUUCUAAAUAAGUUUUAUUUGGAUAAGGAUUUCUGAUUUAUUUCCUACUAAGACAAAAGUUCCUGGUCACAUAACCUGUAAUGAAUAGUUUCACUCAAAUAAUUGGUAAUCUUGCUAUGUAAAUUUUUUUCUCUUUUAACCCAAAUUUUAGUUCAAAGCUUUAAUUCUAGUCUUUGAACUAUUAAAAUUGUAAUAUUUCUAUUUCUUUUCUUCAGGUAAAUAUACUUUCUAAAGAAAGGAAGCUAUUGUUAAAAAACAUUUUGGCUCAAUUUUUUUUGAAGAAUUUCACUGACCUCUCUAAUUAAUUUUUUUGGGUGUUACAACUGCAUGGUGAGGAAGUGAUCCCACCAUGUCCUAGCGGAUCCAUGAAGCUACUAGGCGGCGAAUCUAACCUUGGCUGCAUCAGGGCACACUCCCGUAAGUAAUGGAAACUUGGAUCCCACCACAUAGAGCCAUACGUCUGCAUCCAACGGGUCUUUCGCUCGAAUGAACAACUGUGGCUGCGUGCUGAGGAAUUCUUUGUAGGUAGCGACCAUUUGUGGACGCUACUGUUGCCCACCACCUCCAAAGUGCCAAGGCUGAGGUUGAGGCUAACAUUGCACCAGCUAUCACAAAAUUUCAUUCUGCUGUGCCAUCAGCUCUUGCAUCAUGGGAGCCUAUGGUGGUGGCGGAGGAACAUGCCAAUUUUGUCCACAGUGCACUCUUCCUGCCAUCUAAAAUGCAGCAAUCCCUGUUGUUAUACUCAUGCCCCAUACUUGUGAAAUGUGACUUAAUGAGUAAUGAGUAAGCAGUAAAUCUU
This 1535-nucleotide long non-coding RNA is filed under the name Zea mays. RNAcentral's name for it is "long non-coding RNA (ZMAY_LNC004339)". The record is from RNAcentral. Lineage: Eukaryota; Viridiplantae; Streptophyta; Magnoliopsida; Poales; Poaceae.